CGCUGGCGGCGUGCUUAACACAUGCAAGUCGAACGAGAGGACAAGAGAAGCUUGCUUCUUUUGGAAUCGAGUGGCAAACGGGUGAGUAACACGUAAACAACCUGCCUUCAGGAUGGGGACAACAGACGGAAACGACUGCUAAUACCGAAUACGCUUGGGAGACCGCAUGAUCUUCCAAGGAAAGGGUGGCCUCUACUUGUAAGCUAUCGCCUGAAGAGGGGUUUGCGUCUGAUUAGGCAGUUGGUGAGGUAACGGCCCACCAAACCUACGAUCAGUAGCCGGUCUGAGAGGAUGAACGGCCACACUGGAACUGAGACACGGUCCAGACUCCUACGGGUGGCAGCAGUGGGGAAUCUUCCGCAAUGGGCGAAAGCCUGACGGAGCAACGCCGCGUGAGUGAUGACGGCCUUCGGGUUGUAAAGCUCUGUGAUCGGGGACGAACGGUCCGUAAGCUAAUACCUUAUGGAAGUGACGGUACCCGAAUAGCAAGCCACGGCUAACUACGUG
RNAcentral lists this ribosomal RNA (507 nucleotides) under uncultured bacterium. Its description in RNAcentral is "bacterial SSU rRNA". It matches the Rfam family "Bacterial small subunit ribosomal RNA", at positions 34 to 507 of the family's 1533-position model. The record is from RNAcentral.